This 253-nucleotide ribosomal RNA is filed under the name uncultured bacterium. RNAcentral describes it as "partial 16S ribosomal RNA". It matches the Rfam family "Bacterial small subunit ribosomal RNA", at positions 524 to 776 of the family's 1533-position model. The record is from RNAcentral.
UACGGAGGGUGCAAGCAUUAAUCGGAUUUAUUGGGCGUAAAGGGCGCGUAGGCGGUUAUGAAAGUCAGAUGUGAAAUCCCGGGGCUCACCCCCGGAACAGCAUUUGAAACUCCAUAACUAGAGGGUAGGCGGAGAAAACGGAAUUCCACAAGUAGCGGUGAAAUGCGUAGAUAUGUGGAAGAACACCAGUGGCGAAGGCGGUUUUCUAGCUUAUACCUGACGCUGAGGCGCGAAAGCAAGGGGAUCAAACAGG